This 169-nucleotide ribosomal RNA is filed under the name Gigantactis vanhoeffeni. RNAcentral's name for it is "partial 12S rRNA". The record is from RNAcentral. Lineage: Eukaryota; Metazoa; Chordata; Actinopteri; Lophiiformes; Gigantactinidae.
AACCGCGGUUAUACGAGAGGCCCGAGUUGAUAUGCAUCGGCGUAAAGGGUGGUUAUGAUUUUAAUCAAAUAAAGUUAAACGCCUUCAAGGUUGUGCAACACACCCGAAGGAAAGGAAACUCAACUACGAAAGUGACUUUACAAAAUCUGAUCCCACGAAAGCUAGGACA